UGGGAAGGGGGGAGUUGAACCCCAUUAGUGGGUUUACAGCCCACCGCCUAACACUCGGCCACCUAACC
Molecule: transfer RNA, 68 nt
Filed under: Palleon nasus (elongate leaf chameleon)
Lineage: Eukaryota; Metazoa; Chordata; Lepidosauria; Squamata; Chamaeleonidae
Description: tRNA-Tyr
Source: RNAcentral